Erinaceus europaeus (western European hedgehog) is the source of this 107-nucleotide non-coding RNA. NCBI's taxonomy places the organism in Eukaryota, Metazoa, Chordata, Mammalia, Eulipotyphla, Erinaceidae. The record is from Rfam.
GUGCUCACUUUGGCAGCACAUAUACUAAAAUUGGAACGAUACAGAGAAGAUUAGUAUGGCCCCUGCACAAGUAUGAUGCAAUUCUGAAGGCAUGGAGCCUCAGUGUG